RNAcentral lists this small nucleolar RNA (63 nucleotides) under Euglena gracilis. RNAcentral describes it as "Eg-m16 box C/D methylation-guide snoRNA". The record is from RNAcentral. Lineage: Eukaryota; Euglenozoa; Euglenophyceae; Euglenales; Euglenaceae.
GGAUUAGCUUUGCUGUUUGGCCCGGAGCUUUGCAAUGACACCCAUCGGCUCGAUUGGAUGACC